Molecule: unclassified non-coding RNA, 2870 nt
Filed under: Haliotis rufescens (red abalone)
Lineage: Eukaryota; Metazoa; Mollusca; Gastropoda; Lepetellida; Haliotidae
Description: schlafen family member 13-like, transcript variant X3
Source: RNAcentral
GGCGUUUCUAGGAAGGGUUUUGAAUUGAUUAUGGUUUCCAUUUCUCUGGAUAUAGACAGGAGUUAUGUGGGGACUAUGCUCGUGUUCACUAGCGGGUUUGACAUGUGGAGAUGAGCGACACCAGGAAGAGGAGGGCUGAUUCAAGGGCAUCACCACCACCUAAGCGACCAAGACGUGAACCGCAGAUUACUACAAGAAGCUCAGGACCAGUGACCCGCCCGAGAUGCCGUGAUUGUUCAGACGCCUGUAAAAAAGCAAAACGUCACAUUAAAGAGAGCAACUUCUUGUGUAUCGACAUCCCCGUGUGUCUGUUGUAUGAACGAAUACCUAACACAAGCCAGGGAGUCAUUCUCUCGAAGGAACAACGUGUGAACAAGAAGAAACAACUUCAGAGUGAGUUUCUUGAAAAGGCUUGUGGGCUCCGUAAUUCCGGCGGGGGGAUUCUCCUGGUGCACCUGGUCGGGCUGAGCAGCAGGGACAGACAUCCUGGAAAACUUGACGAGUUCACUGACGACCUUCUGGUUAAAUUGAUCGACGACGGGACUCUCUUUGUGGACUGCUUCACGAAGCAGUGGCUGGACGAAAAAAAGGAACUUUCAGACUAUUACGAUUUCAUUAGCAUUACUGUGAGGCCAAAGAACCAAAGCGUAGUGACAGCUAACUUUAUGACCAAGAUCCCAUUUGACUCCAAGAUCGAGGACCCCCGGGCGAGUAAUAUCCACGGGUUACUGAGCACUCGUAAAACGUUCCGGCAUAAGGCACCACUGGUACGUGGACGAGGAAGGAAGUACCGAUUGUUACACGAAUCCAGGAACGUACAACACAAGGCCUUCAAGGCGGAGAAGGGGAACGAAAAGAAGCUGCAAUCACUACAAAGAGACAUACCUGCGCUUGUGCAGUACAUCUGGAAAGAUCAAAGACUCCGUGAAUAUAUCACUUCAUUUUCCAAACUUGACAAAGGUGGCUCAUAUUUCUUUGGAGUCGCGGAAGAGAAGCGUGAAUACGGACGCAAAAAAUAUGUUUCCAUAAAGCUUGUUGACCAUGGUAUUAAUUUGUCAAGACGAGAUUUAAAAGCUCUUAAGCACAACUUGAUAGAGAAGGUACAGUCAGAUAUUUUGUGUUGUUCGUACGACGGGGAGACAUUGAAUAUUGAAGCACAUGAUCUCGUCGUCAUUGACCAUCAUCUCACGAAAGACAAAAACUACGUUAUCGAAGUAGCCGUUGGUGCCGUAGAGGGGCUGGUCUUCUAUGAUGCACGGGGGCCCAGCUCCUUUGCGAUCAAAGAAGGGGAAUUAAAGCGGAUUACAUGUUGUGAAUGGUUUAACACCUUCAAAGCACAAGGUUAACUCUCGCAGUUCUGAUACCAACCACUGAAACAGGCAACGACAAUGAAUGUCAAGACCGGAAACAUUUCAAAACGGGGACGCCACCAUCGGAAAGGAAUAGUUUCUUUAAAAGAAAAACUGAAGAGGCAGGUCGGAAAUGUGGUCAAGCUACCAAGUGGGAACAUAUUCGCUAAACCAGCGAAGCAACUGGGCAACUCUCUUGAUGACAUUCAUGUCUUACUUACAAAAGAUAAGCUUGGGAUACACGCUUACCCUUCGUACAUGGCGGAGCUGGUUAAAAGGCACACUGAUUUAGAGAACAUAAUCAAAGAGACGUUCCCCUCUGGAAAGGGUGGAUUAGUCUAUCUCGCAAGAUCACUAGGGGUGUCACUUGACCUCGAUGUUCGAAUGAAACAGCCUGCUGACGUCAUGUUUGACGUAUGCGUCAUCCUGCCACGUGGCGCUCCGAUAGUGUUGAGUGUCAUCCAAGAAGAUUCCAAGAAGAGAAACGCGAUCUCCAGGUACAACAUUUAUGUCACCAAAGCGCUUAUCAGAGCAGUGCGCAAGUUCACAAAUGAGAACUUUAAUGCCCUAUAUGGAGUUGUCACAUACGGUGAUAUAUCAUCAGCAGAAAGGUUUGCGAAAGCAUAUGUGACCAUUGAAAAAGAGUCGUCUUGUUUCUGUAUCCCGGAAUCGCUGUCAAUGUCGGAUGUGAAAUACGUCAGCAUCACCAAAGCGUUCUCUGCCGUGGCGUCCUCUACGAAGGUGGUCCAGAUGUUGAGCUCUGACAAAAGCCACAGUGACAUGACCCAGACGUGGCUACUGACGCAAGAACAGUUUGUUGCGCUGUCAGAAAACAUUGAUAAGGAUGUUGUGACCGUGAAAGCUGACUCGGGAACAGGUGCCACCACUCUGAUGCUGGAGGUGGCCUCUCGCCUGAAUAGGUCGGGCUUCACGCUGCUGGUCUGUUCAUCGCCAGAUCUCUGCAAGAAUGUCAGGAAGCAAAAGUUGUGUUCGCGUGUGAUGGUCGCUGACGCCUUCUGCAAAUACAUGAAACAGCACAACACCCUGCCUGCACAUGUGAAACAUGUGGUCUGUGAGGGAAGCUGGUCACCCAGGUUUGCGUACAGCGGACAUGUAUGGUGCUUCCUCGGCAAGAGAGGUUUGGGAUAUAUAGAGGUUGUUACAAAUCCGGGAAAGAAAAGCUGUCGGUUCAGGAUUGUGCCUCCCCGGAAACACCGCCAUAUUCACCCGACAUGCCGUGUUGAACACUUGAGAUUCUGAACUGAACAUGUUACGCAAGGCCUUAGCAUCAGUCUCAUACAGAGACUAGACGUCUGAACAUAUCCACAUAUCAAGAUACAUUCAGUGCGAUUACACAUCAGAGAUCAUUGUAGUAUUAAUGUGCCAUACGAUUCACAAAACUACAUAACCUGAACGUGCCAUCAUGAAAGGCCAAGUAUGGCUUUGAAGCUUUGUAUACAAAUAAUUAUAGCUAAAAUGGAUAGAAUUAUCAUUAAACCGCCCGCACGUUAUCAGAAAUGA